RNAcentral lists this small nuclear RNA (19 nucleotides) under Arabidopsis thaliana (thale cress). RNAcentral describes it as "snRNA_10140". The record is from RNAcentral. Lineage: Eukaryota; Viridiplantae; Streptophyta; Magnoliopsida; Brassicales; Brassicaceae.
ACGAACAGAUCCUAACUCA